Molecule: ribosomal RNA, 253 nt
Filed under: uncultured bacterium
Lineage: Bacteria
Description: partial 16S ribosomal RNA
Rfam family: Bacterial small subunit ribosomal RNA
Source: RNAcentral
UACGGGGGGGGCAAGCGUUGUUCGGAAUUACUGGGGGUAAAGGGCUCGUAGGCGGCCAACUAAGUCAGACGUGAAAUCCCCAGGCUUAACCUGGGAACUGCGUCUGAUACUGGAUGGCUUGAAUUCGGGAGAGGGAUGCAGAAUUCCAGGUGUAGCGGUGAAAUGCGUAGAUAUCUGGAGGAAUACCGGUGGCGAAGGCGGCAUCCUGGACCGACAUUGACGCUGAGGAGCGAAAGCUAGGGGAGCAAACGGG